Molecule: transfer RNA, 57 nt
Filed under: Caldisalinibacter kiritimatiensis
Lineage: Bacteria; Bacillati; Bacillota; Tissierellia; Tissierellales; Thermohalobacteraceae
Rfam family: tRNA
About the family: Transfer RNA (tRNA) molecules are approximately 80 nucleotides in length. Their secondary structure includes four short double-helical elements and three loops (D, anti-codon, and T loops).
Source: Rfam by way of RNAcentral
UGGUAGCUCGUCGGGCUCAUAACCCGGAGGUCGUCGGUUCGAAUCCGGCCCCCGCUA